This 463-nucleotide ribosomal RNA is filed under the name Vreelandella stevensii. Its description in RNAcentral is "partial 16S ribosomal RNA". It matches the Rfam family "Bacterial small subunit ribosomal RNA", at positions 340 to 795 of the family's 1533-position model. Lineage: Bacteria; Pseudomonadati; Pseudomonadota; Gammaproteobacteria; Oceanospirillales; Halomonadaceae. The record is from RNAcentral.
CACGGGUGGCUGCAGUGGGGAAUAUUGGACAAUGGGCAAAAGCCUGAUCCAGCCAUGCCGCGUGUGUGAAGAAGGCCUUCGGGUUGUAAAGCACUUUCAGUGGGGAAGAAAGCCUUGGGGCUAAUACCCUCGAGGAAGGACAUCACCCACAGAAGAAGCACCGGCUAACUCCGUGCCAGCAGCCGCGGUAAUACGGAGGGUGCGAGCGUUAAUCGGAAUUACUGGGCGUAAAGCGCGCGUAGGCGGUCUGAUAAGCCGGUUGUGAAAGCCCCGGGCUCAACCUGGGAACGGCAUCCGGAACUGUCAGGCUAGAGUGCAGGAGAGGAAGGUAGAAUUCCCGGUGUAGCGGUGAAAUGCGUAGAGAUCGGGAGGAAUACCAGUGGCGAAGGCGGCCUUCUGGACUGACACUGACGCUGAGGUGCGAAAGCGUGGGUAGCAAACAGGAUUAGAUACCCUUGUAGUC